GGGGUAGUGACGUCACGCUGUGGUGACGUAAGGCCAACUACAAAAAUGAAGCAGUCGUCACAGUACAGAAGCAAAAUAGAAAGAAGCUCAUCAGGUAGACAGACAGGUGGAGAAGACAGAGGCGGAUAAAAAGCAAAAAAAGUUCGAGAUCCCCCCAGUCAAUCAUGAAGAAAGUCGUGAAGAAAGCCCCCGUAAAGAUACCCGAGAUUCAGACCUCGAGACUAGUUCAAGGUAAAGAAGGUGUAUCGGAGUGUGCCUUGACACUCCAGAUCAUCGGGGAUCUCUUAAACUGUGAAUACCAGUUUUUGAGAAAUUGCGGAAAGAAGUGAAAGUGUCAAGAUGGACGAAGAAGACACUUUACCCAAUGUCCGGGUGGGCCAGACAGAUGACCGGCUCUGUCCGUAAGCUUUUGAGCAGAUGGAAUAGAAGACCAUUCAUUAUGGGACUUGCUCAGAGCAUUCUGAGUCGAAAAAGAAAAAAAAAAUGUACACCAUAUUGUGUGAUUUUUUUUGAAGAUGGUAUUUUAACUCUUAUUAAUGGUGACUACGUUUUGUGCUGCAGUUGUUUUUAGCGUGAUGAAGUGACUGUAAGCCGUCACCUUUCCUCUUGUGGGAAGCAGUGGAGUUGUGGACUGGGUGGGGGUGUGGAGCCAUGGAGCAGCCUCUGCCCAAAUCAAACAUCUGUUGGAAGACGUGGCUUUGAAGACCUUGCUUGGCAGGAAUGUGGACGCAGUGUAUGGACGUCCGGCAGAGUUUCCUUUAUAAUAAGGAUUUGAAUUUGUUUUUUGUUACCUUUAUUUAUUGAUACUGUUGGGUGCAUUAUGUAUGAAAAUAAAAUAUAACUUGGGUUGACAAAUACA
Molecule: long non-coding RNA, 859 nt
Organism: Polypterus senegalus (gray bichir)
Lineage: Eukaryota; Metazoa; Chordata; Cladistia; Polypteriformes; Polypteridae
Exons: 2
Source: RefSeq, a predicted model, not a curated record